GAAGACGUUUGACUUAUCCAAGAGCAGCAUCCUACCAAAAUCCAGGUGUUUAUAGAAAGAUAGAAGAGUCAGAGGCAGCUUCCCACUUUGGGUAAAACUAAGUUCCUUGUAUCAGAUCACAACAAUGUAAGUGACCUAAUCAAAAUAAAUAGCAGGUGCUUACAGCUCAAUACUAAUCAAGCCUUCUUUCUCUUGAUAAACCAACAUAGCUUGGUGAAUGUCUCUGCCCUGAUCCUGAUCCCUGGAGUAUAUGAAAGUGAGAAUGAUGAAGGUGGAUUCCUGUAGAUGGUAAAUACCUCUUAGGAGAUACUUGCUAUAAAAUCGUGAGUA
This 330-nucleotide long non-coding RNA is filed under the name Homo sapiens (human). Its description in RNAcentral is "non-protein coding lnc-RAB27B-1:1". The record is from RNAcentral. Lineage: Eukaryota; Metazoa; Chordata; Mammalia; Primates; Hominidae.